Molecule: non-coding RNA, 136 nt
Organism: Brachypodium distachyon (stiff brome)
Lineage: Eukaryota; Viridiplantae; Streptophyta; Magnoliopsida; Poales; Poaceae
Source: Rfam
UAACUAUUCCCUCUGUCCAACAAAGGAUGUCUCAACUUUGACCAAAUUUAAAUACAAUUAUACACUAAGUCAUGUCUGGAUACAUCCAAAUUUUGACAAACUUGAGACAUCUUUUGUUGGACGGAGGAAGUAGAAG